Molecule: regulatory RNA element, 114 nt
Organism: Lepisosteus oculatus (spotted gar)
Lineage: Eukaryota; Metazoa; Chordata; Actinopteri; Semionotiformes; Lepisosteidae
Rfam family: Potassium channel RNA editing signal
About the family: This family represents a group of sequences related to the human potassium channel Kv1.1 hairpin element which directs the efficient modification of an adenosine to inosine by an adenosine deaminase acting on RNA (ADAR).
Source: Rfam
GUGGGUUAUGGUGACAUGUGCCCCAUAACUUUGGGGGGUAAGAUGGUGGGCACCCUGUGUGCCAUUGCUGGUGUUUUGACCAUUGCUCUGCCUGUUCCUGUCAUUGUCUCCAAC